This 427-nucleotide ribosomal RNA is filed under the name uncultured bacterium. Its description in RNAcentral is "bacterial SSU rRNA". It matches the Rfam family "Bacterial small subunit ribosomal RNA", at positions 354 to 796 of the family's 1533-position model. The record is from RNAcentral.
GCAAGGAAUUUUGCGCAAUGGGCGAAAGCCUGACGCAGCAACGCCGCGUGGGUGAAGAAGGCCUUCGGGUCGUAAAGCCCUUUUGUUAGGGAAGAAGUUCUGACGGUACCUGACGAAUAAGCCUCGGCUAACUACGUGCCAGCAGCCGCGGUAAUACGUAGGAGGCGAGCGUUAUCCGGAUUUAUUGGGCGUAAAGAGCGCGUAGGCGGCCUAUUAAGUCGGUUGUGAAAUCUCUCGGCUUAACUGAGAGGGGUCAACCGAAACUGGUGGGCUUGAGGACAGAAGAGGGAGGUGGAAUUCCCGGUGUAGUGGUGAAAUGCGUAGAUAUCGGGAGGAACACCAGUGGCGAAGGCGGCCUCCUGGGCUGUUCCUGACGCUGAGGCGCGAAAGCGUGGGUAGCAAACAGGAUUAGAAACCCCAGUAGUCC